GCCCGGGUGGUCUAGUGGUAUGAUUCUCGCUUAGUAUGUCUCCAUUAUCUAUCAUCCGCAUUCACAUUUACAAUUUACUAACAACAACUCCAGGGGUUCCAACCCAAGCAUAUCUGCGAGAGGUCCCGCGUUCGAUCCGCGGCUCGGGCC
Non-coding RNA from Aspergillus melleus, 150 nucleotides. Lineage: Eukaryota; Fungi; Ascomycota; Eurotiomycetes; Eurotiales; Aspergillaceae. The record is from the annotation of a RefSeq genome assembly.